UCCUGAUCCCAUAGGGACCCAUCCCCCCCUUGCCCAUAUGCCCCAUGGGGUCUUCAUCCUAUAGGGGGUCUGUUCCCAUUCUGUCCUGUGGGGUCUUGAUCCCACGGGCACCCAUCCCCACCGUUCCCAUAUGUCCUGUGGGGUCUUGAUCCCAUAGGGCCCCAUCCCCACCGUUCCCAUAUGUCCAUUGGGGUCUUGACCCAAUGGGGUUCCUUUCCCAUUCUGUCCUUUGGGGUCCUGAUCCCAUAGGGCCCCAUCCCCACCGUUCCCAUAUGCCCUAUGGGGUCUCGACCUCAUAGGAUCCCGUCCCUCCUAUUGGCUGUGUGCCCUUUGGGGUCUUGAUCCCACAGACCCCCGUCCCCCCUUUUUCCCACAUGCCUUUUGAGAUUUGAUCUCGUGCUGAUCCCAUUGCGUCAUUUGGGGUCUUCAUCUCUUAGGAUCCCACCCCCACUGUGGAUUUGUGCCCUUUGGGGUCUCGAUCCCACGGGCACCCACCCCUGUCGUUCCCAUGCACCCUGUGGGGUCUCGCUCUCAUAGGGUCCCACCCCUGCAGCGGCUGUUUGCCUUUGGGGUCCCGACCCCAAGAGGGUCUGAGCCUGUUGCGCUAUUUGGGGUCUUGGUCACAUGGGGUUUUUUCCCCUUUGGGGUCUUCGUCCCAUAGGAACCCACCCCGCCGUGGAUGUGUGUCCCUGGGCUGUGAUCCACAAGGCGUCCGUCCGUGUGUCCCGUGUCACCCUGUCCCCAAAGUGUCCGUGUGUCCCACGUCACCCUGUCCCCAAGGUGUCCGUGUGUCCCACGUGUCCCAUGUCACCCUGUCCCCAAGGUGUCUGUGUGUCCCUGUCCCCAAGGUGUCCAUCCAUGUGUCCCUUGUGUCCCAAGACAUCCGUGUGUCCCACACAGCUUUGUCCCCAAGGUGCCCACGUGCCCCACAUGCUCCUGUCCCCAAGUUUUCCAUGUGUCCCCUGUGUUCCUGUCCCCAAGCUGUCCACCUAUGGCUCCCAUGUGGUUUUGUCCCCACGUGGUUUGAGUGUCCCUGUCCCCAAGAUGUCCACCCAUGUGUCCCAUGUGCCACUGUCCCCAAGGUGUCCCCAUGAUGCCCUACGUGUCCCAUGUCAUCCUGUCCCCAAGGUGUCCACGUGUCCCCCGUGUCCCUGUCCCCAAGACGUCCACCUAUGGAUCCCACAUAGUUUUGUCCCCAAGAUGUCUGUGUGUCCCCCGUGUCCCUGUCCCCAAGCUGUCCAUCCAUGUGUCCCACGCAUCCCUGUCCCCAUGAUGCCCACGUGUCCCAUGUCACCCUGUCCCCAAGGUGUCUGCGUGUCCCUGUCCCCAGGAUGUCCAUCCAUGUGUCCCUUGUGUCCCUGUCCCCAAGACAUCUGUGUGUCCCACACAGCUUUGUCCCCAAGGUGCCCAUGUGCCCCACGUGCUCCUGUCCCCAAGUUUUCCAUGUGUCCCCUGUGUCCCUGUCCCCAAGCUGUCCACCUGUGGCUCCCAUGUGGUUUUGUCCCCACGUGGUUUGAGUGUCCCUGUCCCCAAGCUGUCCAUCCAUGUGCCCUACGUGUCCCAUGUCAUCCUGUCCCCAAGGUGUCCAUGUGUCCCGUGUCCCUGUCCCCAAGACAUCCGUGUGUCCCACACAGCUUUGUCCCCAAGCUGUCUGUGUGCCCCACGUGCUCCUGUCCCCAAGUUUUCCAUGUGUCCCCCGUGUCCCUGUCCCCAAGCUGUCCAUCCACGUGUCCCACAUGUCCCUGUCCCCAUGAUGCCCACGUGUCCCAUGUCACCCUGUCCCCAAGGUGUCUGCGUGUCCCUGUCCCCAAGGUGUCCAUCCAUGUGUCCCUUGUGUCCCUGUCCCCAAGACAUCCGUGUGUCCCACACAGCUUUGUCCCCAAGAUGUUCGAGUGUCCCCGUCCCCAGCCCAUCCCCCAGCCCCACACGGUUUGUCCCCACGUUGCCCAUCACCCCACGUCACCCCGUCCUCGCGAUGCCCAUCCGUUGCGCCCACACCCCACAAACCCAGUCACCCCGCUGCCUCCCAGCCCACCCAAACCCCUGCGAACCCGGCGCCACCAAACCCGGCGCCACCAAAGCCAGCGCCACCAAACCCAGCGCCACCAAACGCAGCACCCAUGUCUGACAAAACCACUUUAAAUACAGCAGCACAGGAAGGAGCGGCGGGGCAGCGAUGUCAGCACUGCGCCGCGUCCUCAAAGCCGGGGUUGGCCAUCGCCGCGCCCCGCACCGUGCCAGCCUCGGUGCCCCGUGUGCCACAUUUGGCGUCUUCCGUGCCAGAUUUGGCAUCUUCCGUGCCAGAUUCGGUGUCUCCCGUGCCAGAUUUGCUGCCCUCCACGCCAAACUUGGUGCCCUCCACGCCGGCUUCGGUGCCCUCCGUGCCGAGCGGUGCGGGACCUGCGGGCGCAGCGGGACGGGGUCACCCCGUGGCGGUGGGAUGGGGGGCGCUGU
Molecule: long non-coding RNA, 2454 nt
Organism: Phasianus colchicus (ring-necked pheasant)
Lineage: Eukaryota; Metazoa; Chordata; Aves; Galliformes; Phasianidae
Source: Ensembl